AGUAUUAGUUAUGAUCUUGAAACUCAAAGAAUUUGACGGUAUUUCAUUCCGUUCAGAGGAAGGUGUCCUGUAAUUGAUGAUUCACGAUUAACUUUACUUUGUUUAUUUGUUUGUAUACCUCCGUUAUCAGAAUAUCUUUUUAGAGAUUUAAUUUUCUGGGAAUUUUAAUAGAUUUUAUUUCAGGUCAAGGUGCAGCUUAUAAUAAAGAAGAGAUGGGUUACAAUAAAAUUAAGGUUAAACGAAUUACAAUAUUAAUUUUUGUAUGAAGGUGGAUUUGAGAGUAAUUUAAGUUAAAUAACUUAAAUGACUUGAGCUCUGGAGUGUGU
This 326-nucleotide ribosomal RNA is filed under the name Astromascopia daguerrei. RNAcentral's name for it is "partial 12S ribosomal RNA". Lineage: Eukaryota; Metazoa; Arthropoda; Insecta; Orthoptera; Proscopiidae. The record is from RNAcentral.